GACGAACCGUCCAAACGUUAUUCGGAAUUACUGGGCUUAAAGGGUGCGUAGGCGGCGCGGAAAGUCGGGUGUGAAAUCCCUCGGCUCAACCGAGGAACGGCGCUCGAAACUACCGUGCUCGAGGAAGACAGAGGUGAGCGGAACUCAGGGUGGAGCGGUGAAAUGCGUUGAUAUCCUGAGGAACACCGGUGGCGAAAGCGGCUCACUGGGUCUUUUCUGACGCUGAGGCACGAAAGCUAGGGGAGCGAACGGG
This 253-nucleotide ribosomal RNA is filed under the name uncultured bacterium. RNAcentral describes it as "partial 16S ribosomal RNA". It matches the Rfam family "Bacterial small subunit ribosomal RNA", at positions 524 to 776 of the family's 1533-position model. The record is from RNAcentral.